AUAAACAGCCUGGGCUCAGAGGUAAUAAAUAAGGUGCCAAGGCCACACCUGUUCGGAGUGGAUGUUGAAGUCUGUGUUACUUCAAUUCUAUCUCCUAUUCCCAGUCCAUUCUGCAGAUGAGAAAACUGAGACCCACACAGUGUACAUGCUGAUCUGAAUGAGAAUGAUGACAAUAACGGGAGGAAAAAAAUGAGCAGAAACUGCUAACAUCUGGAGGCUGCUGUCCAGUUUACGUAAUCUCUUGCCGCAGAGGAGGAACACGGGAUCCCCAGCCAGAUGGUCCAUGGGUGACUUCACAGCACAUGUGCUACCUCCAAGAGUUCUUCAUUCCCAUGGUCCACAUGAAGAAAAUGGACCCCAAAGGAACAAAAGCAACAAAGAUAAAAAUUCCUUCUCCUCCCAUGGGGGUGGGAGGUGAAGAAUGAAGCAAGCAAACACUCAUAGAGAAAUGUG
Molecule: long non-coding RNA, 453 nt
Organism: Pan troglodytes (chimpanzee)
Lineage: Eukaryota; Metazoa; Chordata; Mammalia; Primates; Hominidae
Exons: 3
Source: RefSeq, a predicted model, not a curated record